This is a long non-coding RNA of Eriocheir sinensis (Chinese mitten crab), 1769 nucleotides long. RefSeq lists it as uncharacterized. NCBI's taxonomy places the organism in Eukaryota, Metazoa, Arthropoda, Malacostraca, Decapoda, Varunidae. The record is from RefSeq and is a predicted model, not a curated record. The transcript has 4 exons.
AACGCAGGCCCACAGGGAACUGAUACGUGUGAUAAGAUUUCGGUUAUCUACAAGUUGAAGGAAUGCAUGAAGGCUAAGACUGGGGGAAGCCCAGAACAAAUCAAAACAAAUAUACGUAAGCAAAAUUAAAUAGAUAGCGGUUUACAUAACGUCUGCAUGUAACUAAAAGACAUAAAAAAGUUUGUAUAAUGCCACGACGAACUUGGUGUACAAAAAUCGAACUUACGGAAAGGUACAAAAAGAGAAAAAUUGAGGUGCUUAUUAAGGUAACGAAAUAUAUAUAACGUCUGCAUGUAUCUAAUACCCAUAAGAAGGUUUGCAUAUGCCGCGACGAACUUGGUCUACGAAAAUCGAACUUACGGAAAGGUACAAAAAAGGAAAAAUUGAGGUGACGAUAUACACCAUUGCUCAAUAUGAAAAAAAAGAAAAAAAAAGAAACUGAAAGACUCCAAAAAAUACUGCAACCUUUUUAAAAAUCACGCGGACACGGUUGCGAAAAGAUAAUAAAAAACCGAAACGUUGCGUGAUUCAGUUAUAUAACGAAAUCAAUACAGGUGACGAUAAACACCAAUAUUCUAAAUGAAAAAAAAAAAGGAAACUGAGACUCCAAAAAAUACUGCAACCUUUUUAAAAAUCACACGGACACGGUUGCGAAAAGAUAAUAAAAAACCGAAACGUUGCGUGAUUCAGUUAUAUAACGAAAUCAAUACAGAAGGAAAUAAAGCACCCCCUAACUUACAGGCUGGCCGGCGACUCUAUAGGAACGGUAAGCAAUAAUUCAACCGUACACACCGCCAUGGUUGCGACGGGGGAGGAGGAAUGGUGGAAUGGUUGAGGUGCGAGAGUGUGUUUGUGGUGGUAAUCCAUAACUUUGAUUUGUGGGUACUGAAAGAGGGGUUAGAGGUUGGUGAAUAGUGGAGGUGCUGUGAAAGAAGAGGGGUUAGAGGAAGGUAAAAAUGAAUGUGAAGUGAGAGAAGAGGGGCUGGAGAAGAAGGAAGGUGAAAGAAGGAAGGGGUUAGAGGAAGGUAAAUAGUGGAAGGGAGAUGAAAGAGAAGAGGGGUUAGAGGAAGGUAAGUAGUGGAAGGGAGGUGAAAGAGAAGAGGGGUUAGAGGAAGGUAAAUAGUGGAAGGGAGAUGAAAGAGAAGAGGGGUUAGGAGGAAGGUAAAGAAUGGAAGGGAGAUGAAAGAAGAAGAGGGGUUAGAAGAAGAGGGGUUAGAGGAAGGUAAAGAAUGGAAGGGAGAUGAAAGAAGAAGAGGGGUUAGAAGAAGAGGGGUUAGAGGAAGGUAAAGAAUGGAAGGGAGAUGAAAGAAGAAGAGGGGUUAGAAGAAGAGGGGUUAGAGGAAGGUAAAGAAUGGAAGGGAGAUGAAAGAAGAAGAGGGGUUAGAAGAAGAGGGGUUAGAGGAAGGUAAAGAAUGGAAGGGAGAUGAAAGAAGAAGAGGGGUUAGAAGAAGAGGGGUUAGAGGAAGGUAAAGAAUGGAAGGGAAAUGAAAAAGAAGAGGGGUUAGUAGAAGGUAAAAAAUGGGAGGUGAUAAAGGAGACACAAAUGGACAAAGAACGGCGUCACAAUUGCACACACAAAAAAAACAGUGGAGAUCAAUGAAAAGGAAGGAAAUGUACAGUGGAAGUGCCUGUUUCGAGUGUGUGGUGGUGGUGGUGGUGGUAAUCGCAGUCUGAGUAGCAGGCUUUUUUUUUUUUACAUUUGUUACCUUGUUUUAUGCCCUUGAACUGACUCCUCUGCCGUAAAAAAAAAAAAUAAUAAAUAAAUAAAA